GAAACAUCUAAGUACCCCGAGGAAAAGAAAUCAACCGAGAUUCCCCCAGUAGCGGCGAGCGAACGGGGAGCAGCCCAGAGCCUGAAUCAGUGUGUGUGUUAGUGGAAGCGUCUGGAAAGGCGCGCGAUACAGGGUGACAGCCCCGUACACAAAAAUGCACAUGCUGUGAGCUCGAUGAGUAGGGCGGGACACGUGGUAUCCUGUCUGAAUAUGGGGGGACCAUCCUCCAAGGCUAAAUACUCCUGACUGACCGAUAGUGAACCAGUACCGUGAGGGAAAGGCGAAAAGAACCCCGGCGAGGGGAGUGAAAAAGAACCUGAAACCGUGUACGUACAAGCAGUGGGAGCCUCUUUUAUGGGGUGACUGCGUACCUUUUGUAUAAUGGGUCAGCGACUUAUAUUCUGUAGCAAGGUUAACCGAAUAGGGGAGCCGAAGGGAAACCGAGUCUUAACUGGGCGUUAAGUUGCAGGGUAUAGACCCGAAACCCGGUGAUCUAGCCAUGGGCAGGUUGAAGGUUGGGUAACACUAACUGGAGGACCGAACCGACUAAUGUUGAAAAAUUAGCGGAUGACUUGUGGCUGGGGGUGAAAGGCCAAUCAAACCGGGAGAUAGCUGGUUCUCCCCGAAAGCUAUUUAGGUAGCGCCUCGUGAAUUCAUCUCCGGGGGUAGAGCACUGUUUCGGCAAGGGGGUCAUCCCGACUUACCAACCCGAUGCAAACUGCGAAUACCGGAGAAUGUUAUCACGGGAGACACACGGCGGGUGCUAACGUCCGUCGUGAAGAGGGAAACAACCCAGACCGCCAGCUAAGGUCCCAAAGUCAUGGUUAAGUGGGAAACGAUGUGGGAAGGCCCAGACAGCCAGGAUGUUGGCUUAGAAGCAGCCAUCAUUUAAAGAAAGCGUAAUAGCUCACUGGUCGAGUCGGCCUGCGCGGAAGAUGUAACGGGGCUAAA
RNAcentral lists this ribosomal RNA (951 nucleotides) under Escherichia coli. RNAcentral describes it as "partial 23S ribosomal RNA". It matches the Rfam family "Bacterial large subunit ribosomal RNA", at positions 195 to 1185 of the family's 2925-position model. Lineage: Bacteria; Pseudomonadati; Pseudomonadota; Gammaproteobacteria; Enterobacterales; Enterobacteriaceae. The record is from RNAcentral.